UACGUAGGGUGCAAGCGUUGUCCGGAAUUAUUGGGCGUAAAGAGCUCGUAGGCGGUUUGUCGCGUCUGGUGUGAAAAUCCAGGGCUUAACCCUGGACCUGCAUCGGGUACGGGCAGACUAGAGUGCGGUAGGGGAGAUCGGAAUUCCUGGUGUAGCGGUGAAAUGCGCAGAUAUCAGGAGGAACACCGGUGGCGAAGGCAGAUCUCUGGGCCGUAACUGACGCUGAGGAGCGAAAGCAUGGGGAGCGAACAGG
This 253-nucleotide ribosomal RNA is filed under the name uncultured bacterium. RNAcentral describes it as "partial 16S ribosomal RNA". It matches the Rfam family "Bacterial small subunit ribosomal RNA", at positions 524 to 776 of the family's 1533-position model. The record is from RNAcentral.